Molecule: non-coding RNA, 82 nt
Organism: Podospora didyma
Lineage: Eukaryota; Fungi; Ascomycota; Sordariomycetes; Sordariales; Podosporaceae
Source: the annotation of a GenBank genome assembly
GCCCGCAUAGCUCAGGGGUAGAGCGUAUCACUAGUAAACCAGGUUUAUGAUAAGGUCAUCAGUUCAAUUCUGAUUGUGGGCA